This is a long non-coding RNA of Physeter macrocephalus (sperm whale), 706 nucleotides long. RefSeq lists it as uncharacterized. NCBI's taxonomy places the organism in Eukaryota, Metazoa, Chordata, Mammalia, Artiodactyla, Physeteridae. The record is from RefSeq and is a predicted model, not a curated record. The transcript has 4 exons.
GGCGCUUCCGGGCCCGUGUUCUCUUUGGCCCUCGGGGAAUCCAAAGGUGCGGUGCUUACGGCCAGACCGUAAGGCAGCGGUCCUAGAUGAAACUCACAUGUCCCUGCUAAACUACGCUGUAGGAGUGACAACCCUUUUCCUGUCAACCCUCACUCCUUAUUCCAAUGAUCACAGAGAACAGAUCAGCAAGCUCAUCAGCAGGUAUCCAACCACGGACUGAGAUGCAGUCUCUCCUUGCCAACCCAUCAAUUUCUAUGAGUGGUUCUCUCGGAGACCCCUCACUCCGGGGAGUGUGCCUACACCUGUGAAGGACCAUGGUAUUAUCACUAUUUCAGCCUGACAACCCCACCACAUGCGAUCACGAAUUGGCUCACUUGAUGACGGAGGCCCAGAAGUCUCAUGCUUUGCCAUCUGCAAGCUGGAGAUCCAGGGAAGCUGGUGGUUUAAUCCAGUCCAAAUCCAAAAGCCUGAGAACCAGGAGCACUGAUGUCUACGAGCAGGAGAAGAUUGAUGUCCCAACUUAAACAGAGAAUAAAUUCUCUCUUCCUCUACGUUUUUGUUCUAUUCAGACCCUCAGUGGAUUGGAUAAGCCGACCUGCAUUGGUGAAAGCAAUCUUCUUUAUUUUUGUCUACCAAUUCAAAUGUUAAUCUCUUCUGGAAACGCCCUCACAGACUUAUGCAGAAAAUUUGUUGACCCAUAUCUAGG